UUCGCUCGCGGAGGGCGGGGAAAGCGAGCGACCUUCUUCGCCUCAGGGUAAUAUUGAGGUGGUGAAGCCUUCAGCUGGGCACCCACUUUUACAGUGCCCAGCUAAAUAGGGAAUGGAGCCUGUGGUUAUGGCAAUGUGCACCUCACCAAGCAAUUAUUACAGUUUAAUAAAGGAUUCCUACCACCACCACCACAGAGUCAGCCUUAAGGCCUGAAGAGUCCUGCAAAAGAUGGCUUGGAGCAUAAAUGACAUCAUGUGACUCCCCGCCCCCACACUCUACCCCAGCACAAGGAGAACUAUGACGUAUGAGAUUUCGAAACAGACUGACACAAGAGGCCAAAGAACAGAUGGAAGCCUUAAGUUUUCAGGGUUGGCCCAAGAAAUUUUGUUGCCUGAGGCAAAGGACAAGAUGACUGCCACCCCUUCAAAGCACAGAAACUGCCUGGGUGGGCAGCUGAAUUUUAGAAGACUCAGGACAGGUAGUGUGGCACUCUGUACUUCAGUACCUUGCCACCACUCCCUGCCUGCUCCACAGUCAUAGCUGUCAACUUUUCCCUUUUCUUGCGAGGAAUCCUAUUCAGAAUAAGGGAAUUUCCCUUUAAAAAAGGGAAAUGUUGUCCACAGUGCCUAUGGGCAGGGCUGGCCCUGUAAGUUCUGCACCACUAGCACUCUAGUUCUCCAGCAGCAACAGAGCAGAUUUAGCUCCUUAGGCCCAGCCUGACUAGUGUCAAGUGACUCCACAGGGCUAUCCAGAUCCUAGAAAGUCCCAAGAAAGGGAAAGGGAAAAGCAGCAGAGUCUUGAGGCAGACUAGAUUUAUUGUGGCACAACAUUUCAUGGAUUAAGUCAGCUGCAGCACAUGAAGGGGUGGUAGAACUGUAGCUACAGAUGAGCUAGCCGGGAUUUUGACUCUGGUGAAGCCUCAAGAGGGGCACCAUUGAGGCUGUAUGCAAAUGUGCGUGGGCGUGUGGCAAAGUGAGUCUUUGACCUGGGUGAAAUAAAGCCACAUACGGUAUAAUGUCAUGGGUUGUUGUUCAUCAGAUGUUGUAUUUACCUAAUUUUAAGACCUGCUAAGGAACAGAUGAUUGUUAUCUGUCCUGAUAUGUAACACAACACAACUCAAAAGAGGGUGUUUUAUUUUUCCCAUGACUGUGUUGAGGUGGAAUUCCAAGGUAACUCUAGACAGGGAGGAGGAUGGGGACAAAACUAGGAUAAGUUGGCUUUGCCUGUCACUGGCUGUGAGAGACCGUGCUAAGGAGGAUUGGUGGGAGCCUUUCACUACUCCUGCUCCUGCUCAGGAUCCUGAAUCUUCCCAGGAGCAAGAGGACAAGUAUAGAUUUGGUUUGCCGAAGGGCAUAGUUCAGAAGGCAGCAGCUGGGAAACACUGGAUGGGGAACAGCUAGGAGAAGAAGCACUGGGAGAUAGAGAGUUAACAGAUUCACUGUCUCCGGAAAGCAUUCCUCCACCAGAAAAGCUGAUUAAGGUGGCAGAACAGAAAGCACAGAGAUUAUGAACUCAGGUUACAAGAUGCAGUUGUGACCUGGGUGACUAAGGAAGAAGUGGGUGAAACUCUUAAUUGGGAGCACUGCCAUUCCUAGG
This is a non-coding RNA of Podarcis muralis (Common wall lizard), 1597 nucleotides long. The record is from RefSeq and is a predicted model, not a curated record. NCBI's taxonomy places the organism in Eukaryota, Metazoa, Chordata, Lepidosauria, Squamata, Lacertidae.